AGUUGCCAUCAUUCAGUUGGGCACUCUAGCGAGACUGCCGGUAAUAAACCGGAGGAAGGUGGGAAUGACGUCAAAUCAUCAUGCCCCUUAUGACCUGGGCUACACACGUGCUACAAUGGUUGGUACAACGAGUUGCGAGUCGGUGACGGCGAGCUAAUCUCUUAAAGCCAAUCUCAGUUCGGAUUGUAGGCUGCAACUCGCCUACAUGAAGUCGGAAUCGCUAGUAAUCGCGGAUCAGCACGCCGCGGUGAAUACGUUCCCGGGCCUU
This 268-nucleotide ribosomal RNA is filed under the name uncultured Streptococcus sp. RNAcentral describes it as "partial 16S ribosomal RNA". It matches the Rfam family "Bacterial small subunit ribosomal RNA", at positions 1113 to 1382 of the family's 1533-position model. The record is from RNAcentral. Lineage: Bacteria; Bacillati; Bacillota; Bacilli; Lactobacillales; Streptococcaceae.